AUGUACUUCACUCUAAAAAACCAUUUAAAUCUCAAUAUAUACAGGAGCUCAUUUUUCAGCAGCUGCUCAAUUUGGAACUCCCUCUCCUACUACCUCCACCUCUCUCCUACUACCUCCCUCUCUCUCUCAUACUACCUCCCUCUCUCUCCUACUACCUCUCUCUCUCUCUCCUACUACCUCCACCUCUCUCCUACUACCUCCCUCUCUCUCUCAUACUACCUCCCUCUCUCUCCUACUACCUCUCUCUCUCUCCUACUACCUCUCUCUCCUACUACCUCCCUCUCUCUCCAACUACCUCCCUCUCUCUCCUACUACCUCUCUCUCUCUUCUACUACCCCCCUCUCUCUCUCUCCUAAUACCUCCCUCUCUCUCCUACUACCUCCCUCUCUCUCCUACUACCUCCCUCGCUCUCCUACCUCCCUCUCUAUCCUACUACCUCCCUCUCUCUCCUACUUCUCCCUCUCUCUCCUACUACCUACCUCUCUCUCCUACUACCUCCCUCUCUCUCCUACUACCUCCCUCGCUCUCCUACCUCCCUCUCUCUCCUACUACCUCCCUCUCUCUCCUACUUCUCCCUCUCUCUCCUACUACCUCCCUCUCUCCUACUACCUCCCUCUCUCUUACUACCUCCCUCUCUCUUCUACUACCUCCCUCUCGCUCUCUCCUACUACCUCCCUCUCUCUCCUACUACCUCCCUCUCGCUCUCUCCUACUACCUCCCUCUCGCUCUCUCCUAAUACCUCCCUCUUGCUCUCUCCUACUACCUCCCUCUCUCUCCUACUACCUCCCUCUCUCUCCUACUACCUCCCUCUCUCUCCUACUACCUCCCUCUCUCUCCUACGACCUCACUCUCUCUCCUACGACCUCACUCUCUCUCCUACUACCUCCCUCUCUCUCUCCUACUACCUCCCUCUCUCUCCUACUACCUCCCUCUCUCUCCUACUACCUCCCUCUCUUCUCUCCUACUACCUCCCUCUCUCUCCUACUACCUCCCUCUCUCUCCUACUACCUCCCUCUCUCUCCUACUACCUCCCUCUCUCUUCUACUCCCUCUCUCUCCUACUACCUCCCUCUCUCUCUCUCCUACUACUUCCCUCUCUCCCCUAAUACCUCUCUCUCCUACUACCUCUCUCUCUCCUACUACCUCUCUCUCUCUCCUACUACCUCCCUCUCUCUCCUACUACCUCCCCAUCUGUCCUACGACCUCCCUCUCUCUCCUACUACCUCCCUCUCUCUCCUACUACCUCCCUCUCUCUCCUACUAUCUCCCUCUCUCUCCUACUACCUCCCUCUCUCUCCUACGACCUCCCUCUCUGUCCUACUACCUCCCUCUCUCUCCUACUACCUCCCUCUCUCUCCUACUACCUCCCUCUCUCUCCUACUACCUCCCUCUCUCUCUCCUACUACCUCCCUCUCUCUCCUACUACCUCCCUCUCUCUCCUACUACCUCCCUCUCUUCUCUCCUACUACCUCCCUCUCUCUCCUACUACCUCCCUCUCUCUCCUACUACCUCCCUCUCUCUCCUACUACCUCCCUCUCUCUCCUACUCCCUCUCUCUCCUACUACCUCCCUCUCUCUCUCUCCUACUACUUCCCUCUCUCCCCUAAUACCUCUCUCUCUCCUACUACCUCUCUCUCUCCUACUACCUCUCUCUCUCUCCUACUACCUCCCUCUCUCUCCUACUACCUCCCCAUCUGUCCUACGACCUCCCUCUCUCUCCUACUACCUCCCUCUCUCUCCUACUACCUCUCUCUCCUACUAUCUCCCUCUCUCUCCUACUACCUCCCUCUCUCUCCUACGACCUCUCCUCUCUCUCUCUCUCCUACUACCUCCCUCUCUCUCCUACUACUUCUCUCUCUCUCCUACUACCUCCCUCUCUCUCCUACUACCUCCCUCUCUCUCUCCUACUACCUCCCUCUCUCUCCUACUACCUCCCUCUCUCUCCUACUACCUCCCUCUCUUCUCUCCUACUACCUCCCCCUCUCUCCUACUACCUCCCUCUCUCUAAUACUACCUCCCUCUCUCUCCUACUACCUCCCUCUCUCUUCUACUCCCUCUCUCUCCUACUACCUCCCUCUCUCUCUCUCCUACUACUUCCCUCUCUCCCUUAAUACCUCUCUCUCUCCUACUACCUCUCUCUCUCCUACUACCUCUCUCUCUCUCCUACUACCUCCCUCUCUCUCAUACUACCUCCCCAUCUGUCCUACGACCCCCUCUCUCUCCUACUACCUCCCUCUCUCUCCUACUACCUCCCUCUCUCUCCUACUAUCUCCCUCUCUCUCCUACUACCUCCCUCUCUCUCCUACGACCUCUCCUCUCUCUCUCUCCUACUACCUCCCUCUCUCUCCUACUACCUCCCUCUCUCUCCUACUACCUCCCUCUCUCUCCUACCAACUCCCUCUCUCUCUCCUACUACCUCCCUCUCUCUCCUACUACCUCCCUCUCUCUCCUACUACCUCCCUCUCUUCUCUCCUACUACCUCCCUCUCUCUCCUACUACCUCCCUCUCUCUCCUACUACCUCCCUCUCUCUCCUACUACCUCCCUCUCUCUCCUACUCCCUCUCUCUCCUACUACCUCCCUCUCUCUCUCUCCUACUACUUCCCUCUCUCCCCUAA
Oncorhynchus mykiss (rainbow trout) is the source of this 2613-nucleotide long non-coding RNA. The record is from Ensembl. Lineage: Eukaryota; Metazoa; Chordata; Actinopteri; Salmoniformes; Salmonidae.